RNAcentral lists this ribosomal RNA (506 nucleotides) under uncultured bacterium. RNAcentral describes it as "partial 16S ribosomal RNA". It matches the Rfam family "Bacterial small subunit ribosomal RNA", at positions 29 to 523 of the family's 1533-position model. The record is from RNAcentral.
AGUGAACGCUGGCGGUAGGCCUAACACAUGCAAGUCGAACGGCAGCACAGGAGAGCUUGCUCUCUGGGUGGCGAGUGGCGGACGGGUGAGGAAUACAUCGGAAUCUACUCUGUCGUGGGGGAUAACGUAGGGAAACUUACGCUAAUACCGCAUACGACCUACGGGUGAAAGCAGGGGACCUUCGGGCCUUGCGCGAUUGAAUGAGCCGAUGUCGGAUUAGCUAGUUGGCGGGGUAAAGGCCCACCAAGGCGACGAUCCGUAGCUGGUCUGAGAGGAUGAUCAGCCACGAUGGAACGGAGACACGGUCCAGACUCCUACGGGAGGCAGCAGUGGGGAAUAUUGGACAAUGGGCGCAAGCCUGAUCCAGCCAUACCGCGUGGGUGAAGAAGGCCUUCGGGUUGUAAAGCCCUUUUGUUGGGAAAGAAAUCCAGCUGGCUAAUACCCGGUUGGGAUGACGGUACCCAAAGAAUAAGCACCGGCUAACUUCGUGCCAGCAGCCGCCGCAG